GAAAUGCGAUAAGUAAUGUGAAUUGCAGUAUUCAGUGAAUCAUCGAAUCUUUGAACGCACAUUGCGCCCGCCAGUAUUCUGGCGGGCAUGCCUGUUCGAGCGUCAUUUCAACCAUCAAGCCCCCGGGCUUGUGUUGGGGACCUGCGGCUGCCGCAGGCCCCGAAAACCAGUGGCGGGCUCGCUGUCACACCGGGCGUAGUAGAUUUUUCGUCUCGCCCAGGGCGUGCUGCGGGUUCCGGCCGUUAAAAAGCCUCUCUUUUAACCCAAGGUUGACCUCGGAUCAGGUAGGAAGACCCGCUGAACUUAAGC
Molecule: unclassified non-coding RNA, 309 nt
Filed under: plant metagenome
Description: partial contains 5.8S ribosomal RNA, internal transcribed spacer 2, and large subunit ribosomal RNA
Rfam family: 5.8S ribosomal RNA (bases 1-105)
Source: RNAcentral